RNAcentral lists this unclassified non-coding RNA (390 nucleotides) under soil metagenome. Its description in RNAcentral is "partial contains 5.8S ribosomal RNA, internal transcribed spacer 2, and large subunit ribosomal RNA". The stretch from base 1 to 122 matches the Rfam family "5.8S ribosomal RNA", at positions 35 to 154 of the family's 154-position model. The record is from RNAcentral.
GAUGAAGAACGCAGCGAAAUGCGAUACUUGGUGUGAAUUGCAGAAUCCCGAGAACCAUCGAGUCUUUGAACGCAAGUUGCGCCCGAAGCCAUUAGGCCGAGGGCACGCCUGCCUGGGCGUCACACGUCGUUGCCCCCCCUUCUACUCCUUCGGGAUUGCGGGGGGCGGAUGAUGGCCUCCCGUGCGCCUCGUCGCGCGGUUGGCAUAAAUGCCAAGUCCUCGGCGACGCACGCCACGACAAUCGGUGGUUGCGAAACCUCGGUUGCCCGUCGUGUGCGGUCGUCGCGCAUCGAGGGCUCGAAAAAAUUGCCGGGCUCCGGCUCGGCUUUCAACGCGACCCCAGGUCAGGCGGGGUUACCCGCUGAAUUUAAGCAUAUCAAUAAGCGGGGA